AUUGAACGCUGGCGGCAUGCUUUACACAUGCAAGUCGAACGGUAACAGGCCUUCGGGUGCUGACGAGUGGCGAACGGGUGAGUAAUGCAUCGGAACGUACCCAGAGGUGGGGGAUAACGCAGCGAAAGCUGUGCUAAUACCGCAUGUGAUCUGAGGAUGAAAGCGGGGGACCGAGCAGCAAUGUUUGGCCUCGCGCCUUUGGAGCGGCCGAUGUUGGAUUAGCUAGUUGGUGGGGUAAAGGCCUACCAAGGCGACGAUCCGUAGCUGGUCUGAGAGGACGACCAGCCACACUGGGACUGAGACACGGCCCAGACUCCUACGGGAGGCAGCAGUGGGGAAUUUUGGACAAUGGGCGCAAGCCUGAUCCAGCAAUGCCGCGUGCGGGAAGAAGGCCUUCGGGUUGUAAACCGCUUUUGGCAGGAACGAAACGGUGUCCGCUAAUACCGGGCGCUAAUGACGGUACCUGCAGAAUAAGCACCGGCUAACUACGUG
This 492-nucleotide ribosomal RNA is filed under the name uncultured bacterium. RNAcentral's name for it is "partial 16S ribosomal RNA". It matches the Rfam family "Bacterial small subunit ribosomal RNA", at positions 30 to 507 of the family's 1533-position model. The record is from RNAcentral.